Oreochromis niloticus (Nile tilapia) is the source of this 2004-nucleotide long non-coding RNA. RefSeq lists it as uncharacterized. Lineage: Eukaryota; Metazoa; Chordata; Actinopteri; Cichliformes; Cichlidae. The record is from RefSeq and is a predicted model, not a curated record. The transcript is spliced from 3 exons.
AGGUUUGGCCGAAUGCGACCCCAGCCUCAGUCGGGCGGUGGGGAUGUGUGGCAGGGGUGUUGCAGUGGGCUCAAGGGGCUGUGCCAGGAAGGCUAUGAUGAUGGCUAUGAGAUGAUUGUGUUUACAAGGUCUCCUUCCUUUUAGUGACCCUGGACCUGAGACAAGAGAGUGUGGAGUGUGGAGUAAUCUGGAAAGCUGGCUGCCAGGAAAAGACCACGGUUCUAGACCACAAAGGAACAUUUCUGUGCUCUAAAUAAAAGAAACCAGAUAGUCACACGAACACUCUAUGUCUUGAAAACAAGUUUUAACAAAGUCCUGGAGACGUGCCCAAUGCUGGAGGACCUCCUGCUUUACCCCUGACUCAGAUAAACUCAUCUCUGACACACACACACACACACACACACACACAUGCUGAAUUCACAUCUUGCCAUUAAAUGUGAUACAGUAACCAACUUUUUCUUUCAGAAAAAAAGAAAAUUGAGAGAUUCACCGUUCUGUUUGCAUCAGUCUAUCAGAUGAAUCCCCUCCAAGUCCAAUAUUUACAUCAGUUACAGUGAUAAUGCUUGGUGUAUACUUUCAGCCACAGCAGUAGAAAGUCAGGAAUGAAUCUCACUGAAAUUGUAGCUGCAUUUGCUAUUUAAUUUAAUUGGAAUAAAUACAGUUAACAACUCCUUUAUAAAAAUCUGUUAUAUUUGAUCUCAGAUAGCCACUACACACACUCUGUUUUUAUCCCUUUAUCUUUCACUGGUCUGUCGUUUGAUAUAACAAGAAAGUUAAUAUCAUGGCUGCUCUGGCAGAUGUGUGGAGUGAAGAGAGAUAGGAGCCAAAUGCAGAGGCUGACGAGGACUUAAACUAAAAAUGUGCCUUUUAUUGAGGCAGCACAAAACUACAAACAAAAAUGCAGGAAUAUAAAGACUAAAGUAACAAAAACUAAACGGGGAGGGAAGUAGAAACAAAUAUAGAGAAACUAAAGAUCUGAGACGUGGAACACAACAAAUGAUAACCUGGAACAAGAGACAUGUCAUGGAUGAUACACAGACAACCCAGCAGCAAACAGAGGAAGACAAUGGGCUUAAAUACACAGAGGGAUAAAUGAGGGAAUAAGACACAGGAGGAGAGCACAGCUGGGAGAAAUCACAAACAACGAGACCAGUGGGAGGAAAACUGAAACACUAACAUAGCACAAGAGACUAUCAAAGUAAAACAGCAAACAAGAAACGACAUUUACAAAGACACAGAGUUGACAUUGAUACUUGACUGACUGGGAAGAAAUGGGGAACAUGGAAACAAGAGUGACUAGACAUGACAUGUGGGACACAGGGGCAAAGCAAAGUAACAGAAACCUAAAGCCUAAGAAUAUAACACAAGAAGAAAACAAAGAGAACCAAAAGAAUAAUCAAUGCAUAUAAAUUAAACAAACAAAAAAACACUGGAUCACAGACUCAGUACCAUGACAGUUGAAUGUACAAUAAUAAAGACUUUAAAUCAGAUGACAAUGUAGCUGACACUGUGCUUAUUAGUGUGUGGUCAACCAGAAAUCUUCAUAGUGUCAUCCAUACAUGAGAUCUUUAUACAAAUGAGGAAAAGACAAUGAAGAAACUGUUUAAUUGAUAUGAAAUGACUGAAUUAUAUGAAAUAUUAUGGCUUUGUCUGCCAGAUUGUUUUUCUGUAAACUACUUUGAACUACUGGCAGUCAGUGAUGUCACCUAAAGGCAAGAUUCUAUGUUGUGUUGCCGUAGUUUCCAGAGUUUACUUAUAAAGCUCACUUACAGAACUCAGUUAGAAACGUCAAGCAUUUGAAGGACGCUCAUUUGAAGGAAUAUUAACUCAAUAUCAACUCAUUACGGUGACAUUUUCGAUUUUAAAGUUCUCCAAAAUUACAAUGACAAAGGAAACAAGAAAAAUUACCACUCCAGCAGAUAAAGAUUCAGGAGAUCAAGAUUGUAAGACCAGGACUGCUAAAAGAAAGGCCAGUCCUGAAAAGAAGACCCCAAUAAAAAGGAG